Molecule: ribosomal RNA, 342 nt
Filed under: Triticum aestivum (bread wheat)
Lineage: Eukaryota; Viridiplantae; Streptophyta; Magnoliopsida; Poales; Poaceae
Description: partial small subunit ribosomal RNA
Source: RNAcentral
AUGCCAUUGCCAUGGCCGUGCCCUUCGCCAUGGCCGAACGCGACGGGACUGAGCACCGGCGCUACUACGACAGGGGGCCAUGGCCUGCGAGCUCACAGGCCAGGGGCGGCCAUGGCUUACGAGCUUGAGGCAUGUUACUACAACUCCAGAUUUGCUUACAUGUUUGUUUUUGCUGGAACCAGUGUACUAAUUUGUUAUCACCGUCUUUGUUUUUUGCUGGAACUAAACCAAAUUUUGCUGCCAUGUCUUUUUGCUGGAAUCAUUUUGUACCACUUUUUUGCUACAAUAGUUUUGUUUUUUUCCUACUACCGGCACUGUCGUUUGUUACAUCCUUUUUUAUGA